This 283-nucleotide ribosomal RNA is filed under the name uncultured bacterium. Its description in RNAcentral is "partial 16S ribosomal RNA". It matches the Rfam family "Bacterial small subunit ribosomal RNA", at positions 28 to 311 of the family's 1533-position model. The record is from RNAcentral.
GAUGAACGCUGACAGAAUGCUUAACACAUGCAAGUCGACUGGAACAGUUCUUCGGAACCAAGUACGGUGGCGGACGGGUGAGUAACGCGUAAAGAACUUGCCCUCUAGACUGGGACAACUACUGGAAACGGUAGCUAAUACCGGAUAUUAUGAGAACCUCGCAUGGGGAACUUAUGAAAGCUAUAUGCGCUAGAGGAGAGCUUUGCGUGCCAUUAGGUAGUUGGUAGGGUAAUGGCCUACCAAGCCGACGAUGGCUAGCCGGCCUGAGAGGGUGAACGGCCAC